CAGCAAAGAAAGAAGUAAAAGUACAUGCAUCUGUGGAAAAUCCGAAGUUAAAAGGACCUGAAAAGAAGGAAGCAAAAGCAACAAAGGCAACAGAGCAAGAUAAACCAAAGAUGAAACAAGGAAAUCCUGGAAAAGAGAAAGAAUUGAAAUCUCCAGCAGCUACAAAAGAUAAAGUACAUGCUAAAGAAAAGGAAGAAAAGAA
Long non-coding RNA from Chiroxiphia lanceolata (lance-tailed manakin), 202 nucleotides. RefSeq lists it as uncharacterized. The record is from RefSeq and is a predicted model, not a curated record. NCBI's taxonomy places the organism in Eukaryota, Metazoa, Chordata, Aves, Passeriformes, Pipridae. The transcript is spliced from 6 exons.